UGAGCAGAUGCAUAGCUUUUGCUGCAUGGGUUAAUUCAGAAGUAUAAAUUUGUCCCUGGCAAAUGCAUACAUCUCAUGCUAGCCUCACGAAUCUGGAAUAAGCCUUCGAAAAGAAAUUGUCCUUGAAGCUAGUAUCUGAUAUCAGCACUGGAUCAUAGAACUUGUUGCUGAUUUUGACCUUGUAUUCAAGUUAACUGUUCCCCUUGGUAUUUGUUUAAUACCCUGUACAUAUCUUUGAUUUCAACCCUUAGUACAUGUGGCUUGGUCACUUCGUGGCUGAGGUAAGAACAUGCUUGCGGAAGACAAGUCUGUGGCUUGGUGAGUCUGUGUGGGCAAAACCCCUU
RNAcentral lists this long non-coding RNA (344 nucleotides) under Homo sapiens (human). RNAcentral's name for it is "HSALNT0293838". Lineage: Eukaryota; Metazoa; Chordata; Mammalia; Primates; Hominidae. The record is from RNAcentral.